GACCCUCCCAUCACCUUUCUCUCGAGGGUCGCGGCUG
This 37-nucleotide non-coding RNA is filed under the name unclassified sequences. The record is from RNAcentral.